This 490-nucleotide ribosomal RNA is filed under the name Proteus mirabilis. RNAcentral describes it as "bacterial SSU rRNA". It matches the Rfam family "Bacterial small subunit ribosomal RNA", at positions 9 to 488 of the family's 1533-position model. The record is from RNAcentral. Lineage: Bacteria; Pseudomonadati; Pseudomonadota; Gammaproteobacteria; Enterobacterales; Morganellaceae.
GAGUUUGAUCCUGGCUCAGAUUGAACGCUGGCGGCAGGCCUAACACAUGCAAGUCGAGCGGUAACAGGAGAAAGCUUGCUUUCUUGCUGACGAGCGGCGGACGGGUGAGUAAUGUAUGGGGAUCUGCCCGAUAGAGGGGGAUAACUACUGGAAACGGUGGCUAAUACCGCAUAAUGUCUACGGACCAAAGCAGGGGCUCUUCGGACCUUGCACUAUCGGAUGAACCCAUAUGGGAUUAGCUAGUAGGUGGGGUAAAGGCUCACCUAGGCGACGAUCUCUAGCUGGUCUGAGAGGAUGAUCAGCCACACUGGGACUGAGACACGGCCCAGACUCCUACGGGAGGCAGCAGUGGGGAAUAUUGCACAAUGGGCGCAAGCCUGAUGCAGCCAUGCCGCGUGUAUGAAGAAGGCCUUAGGGUUGUAAAGUACUUUCAGCGGGGAGGAAGGUGAUAAGGUUAAUACCCUUGUCAAUUGACGUUACCCGCAGAAGA